RNAcentral lists this ribosomal RNA (445 nucleotides) under uncultured bacterium. RNAcentral describes it as "bacterial SSU rRNA". It matches the Rfam family "Bacterial small subunit ribosomal RNA", at positions 30 to 475 of the family's 1533-position model. The record is from RNAcentral.
AUUGAACGCUGGCGGCAUGCCUUACACAUGCAAGUCGAACGGCAGCACGGGAGCUUGCUCCUGGUGGCGAGUGGCGAACGGGUGAGUAAUACAUCGGAACGUACCCUGAAGUGGGGGAUAACGUAGCGAAAGUUACGCUAAUACCGCAUAUUCUGUGAGCAGGAAAGAGGGGGAUCGCAAGACCUCUUGCUUUAGGAGCGGCCGAUGUCGGAUUAGCUAGUUGGUGAGGUAAAGGCUCACCAAGGCGACGAUCCGUAGCGGGUCUGAGAGGAUGAUCCGCCACACUGGGACUGAGACACGGCCCAGACUCCUACGGGAGGCAGCAGUGGGGAAUUUUGGACAAUGGGGGCAACCCUGAUCCAGCCAUGCCGCGUGCGGGAAGAAGGCCUUCGGUUGUAACCGCUUUAGUCGGAGAAAGAAUCACGGAUAACAACCCUCGUGCUUU